AAUGAUUCAAUGUAAUGAUGCAUGAAAUCUGAAAUGAUGGAGGGAACAAGGAAUGGUGUAGCAAUUGAGUGCAAUGAGUGGUGUUUGAAAUGAUUCAAAUGUGAAAGUGAAGUGAUGAUGCAAAGCAUGGGGGUAAAAUGGAGUGGUGUUGCAGCUAGGGAACAUGAAUGAUUGUGCACAUGGUAGAGAAAGGAAAGGGAGGUGGAAUGAUGCAACAAAUGAGUCAAUGGAGGGAACAUGGAUGAUGAUGCACGACAUAGGAAUCCAAAGGGAGUGCAAUGGUGGUGCACGACAAUGAUGGAAAGGUGAAUGGUGGAGUGACACCCCUUUGUGGCUGAGCUCUUUGUCCUUUUUACAUUAAUUCUUCUUUCUCUUUAACACAUUCCUAGCCUCUUUAGUCUUCAAUUUCGUCCAUCCACCUUACUCCAUGCAUGUGCUAUUCAUUCCAAGCCCAAAACUGCUCCAAAAUGCAUCUUAUUGCUUCAUAAGGCCUAUGGACCUACAAACACACGAAAAUAGCUUAAAAUAUAUAAUUAACUAAGAAAUAACAACAUAAAUGCAUGAGAACAAGCUAACCCAGUUGCAUAAAUAUGCUCCUAUCAAAUUCCCCCACACUUAGCUUUUGCUAGUCCUCGAGCAAAACAAAACAAACGAAACAAAUCAAACAUAACCUAGACCUUCCAACAUUUGCCUCAGGGAUUUUUAAUGAAACAUGACAUGUUAAAAAUCAUCAUUCCCACAGAUUUUGGUCAUCUUUACACUUGAGCACAUACUUAAUCACAGUCACCACUUACUAGUUCACAAUUAACCAAUUAAAACGAUGUUUUGAAUGUAGUAACAUGCCUUAGAGAAUUUGCUCAAUUUCUUACAAGAUACUCUCUAUUUUCACACACAUUUUCUGACUACACACCCUACACUAGUAUAUGUGAGAAGAUUAAUGUAAACACGAAAGACUAGAACUCACAUAUGUUAUAACAAAGAAAGCAAUUUUCUGGAGUCAUUAAGCAUGUUUAGAUAUGAUCACAUGAAUGGAAUGCUACUACUUAGAUGCGAGAACCAGUGACACCAUAUGCUCAUACCAAUUUCAAACUCCACAAAUUGAAACACACAACACUCAAGAUUGAAGUCAAGGGUUGUAACAGGGCUUGAGGGUAAUGGCUAAUAAAGAAAGGAUAGGAAUAACAAACGUUCUUAAAGCGAUAGCAAGCAAAGCAAUGAAAUAGACACUUGGAAUUCACUUUAGAAUGCAGAAUCAACUUUUAAAUACAAAGGCAAGAUUCUUGCAACACUUAGGGCCGAAUUCAAUGUUUUGGACCCUUUUUUAACAAACGUUUUUCUUUUCACUCUUUUUUUUUUUUUCUACCCGUGCCUUAUUAAGGACUUUGGCACACACACACACACAAGAAUCACUUCCCCCACACUUGCUUUCUGCAAUACAUUGAUCAAAAAGGAGUUCAUUUUAAGUCAUGUUUUACUAUGCUUCAAGAACAAGGGUAUGGAUGGUCCUAAACUAGGCUAGGUAAGGAUAGUGUGGAUUAACAAAGAACAUAGGCUUAACAAGGCUCAACAGGGUUAAACUUAAACACAUAAUGAAAUAGGGGCACGGCAAUUUGGCUUUGGGGGUCACUACACAACUUCAUCUUGAAUAUGUGUUAUGCAAAUCAAUAACAUGCUUUCAAUGAAAUAGGCAUGAGUUCUAGCAUUUGGAACUAAAUGAUGAAACGCCUUCUAAGUAGCAACCAAGCAAAGAAUAAUGAGAUCAUGCAACGACUUUAGAAAACAAUGAUGCACAGAUUAUUAACUCUCCAAAUAAACGUUUAGGCUCAAGUCUCACAAGGUUGUAGCGUUCAUUUGAGUUCCUUCCUUCAAGCAUGUUACAAAAACUGAUUUUUCCUUUAUGAUUGCAUGUGAAUUCAUAAAUUAUAACCACAACCAAGCAUACACCAAAGAAAAAAUCAAAUUUUCAUCCAUGUUUAUAACUCUCUUUAACAAUCAUAUAAUUAAAAACCAAAUCCUCAUCAUUGUGUUGGAAGGUACCCUAAGACACAAAUAAACACACAAAAACAACUCUUUUUGGGUUUUUCAAAAAAACAAUUUUUCAAAUUUUUAUGAGAUUUUCGGAUUUUUAUGUCAAAACACACUAAAACACUCCAAAACAGCUUAAAAAUACUUACAAACAGCAAGGAACAACACUAGAAGUAAUGAGUGAUAAACUCCUACAAAUUUUAUGCAAAACAACUUGGUUACCCCCCCCCCACACUUAAAUCAAACAUUGUCCUCAAUGUUUCAAGCAUAAACUCACACAAAAACAAGCAAACAAACAAACAAUGAAUAAACAUGACAAGUAUAGCAAAGUAAAAACCAGACAGAGUAAAGUUUAAGAACGCAAAUCUGGUUUUGGAGAUAGAUGAUCUUGUUAACUUUCCACAGCUUUGAUCUCGAACUGGUUUGGAAUUCUGAGUGAGGAAUAUUAGAGUUCUUGGUUGUGCAGUCUGCAUUCUUCUCUGCUUGUUUUUUCUGCAUGGCAAGCAGGCACGAGGUAGAGGUGAUGGUCUAUUUCUUUCUUCAAUCUUUCCAAGUGCCCACCAUUUGCUUUCUUUCUCCUUGUCCCUAGCUGAGGAUGAAUUAGCACAUUGUCUCCACAUGCUUCGAGGUAUCAUUUUCACUUCUCUUAUCUGUUCCCCGGGCAGAUGUGGUAGACGAAGAGGAAGCAUAAGAUGUUGAAGAUGAGUACUCGAGAGCAAGGCUAGGUAAGCAAUCAAGAAGGGGUUCUAGGCAGUCGGUUCCAAAUCGGAAGAUUAAUACCAAGUGCUGGUUGAUUUUUCUCUUUCUCCUUGUCCCGCAGAUGAAAACAACGACAAGGAGAAGGACAGGGACUCUUGCUUUCAACCUUCAUGAUAUGAAAUACAUUUGCUUUGGAUGAGUUGUUUGUAGAGGUACCCCAAGGAAUAAGGAACACUGAGUGACUCGAAAGGCUUCGUUGGGAAGGCAUUCUCGGAGAUGAAGGAAGGUUAUACAUGUCUGCCUUGCAAUGGAGGGUGAAGGUUGACAUUUAUAGGAAUUAAUAACCGUUACUAUUCUUUCACUCUUGUCGGCAACCGUUGGAUGAUUUAAUAGUAAACUUCACGUCCCUUCUACUUCACAAGAAAUCUUCGACAGAUUGCCCGUAAUUUUUGCAAGGUUGAGUGUGCAUGUGACAAGCGCUGACACGUCUGGAAAAGCAAAUGCCUCUUCAAUAUCUGGAAUCAGUGCUUCGACAAACUGCCCGUGAUUUCCGUAAAGCUGAGUGUGCAUGUGACAGAUGCUGACACGUUUGGAAAAGCAGAUGCCUCUCCAAUUUCUGAGCUUGCCUCUUCGAGUUCUGAGCUCGCCUCUUCGAGUUCUGAACUCCGUCGAAUGCAGAGGUUGCAUGUGACAAAUGCAGACAAAUCUGGAAAAGAAGAUUGGCCCGUGGUUUCUAAGUAAGCCCAACUUUUGAGAAAGCUAGUGCCUCUUCGAUUUUUGAAUUGGCCUCUUCGAUUUCUGAGCUCGCCUCUUCGAUCUCUGAAAUCCCGUCGAGUGCUGGUUUUUAUAGAGGCGCGCAGUACAUUUCAAAGCACACUUGAAUUUCUGCCUGUAGAAACUCCCUUCUUGCACUUCUACGAUCUUGACUUGUCCAACCUCUUCUUUCUUCAACACCUUUGAAAAUGUCUGGCCCCUUCGACCGUCAUUUUGACUUAAACCUUGGUGAAGAGGCAGCCAUGCCUUCUCCAGACAACAUAUGGCGCCCAUCCUUCAUAUCUCUUACUGGUCCUUUUACCGUUGGGGAUUCGGUGAUAAAGAAUGAUAUGACCGUUGCUGUAGUGGCCCGGAACCUUGUCACUCCUAAAGAUAACAGACUGUUUUCCAAACGGUCUGAUGAGUUCGCUGUUAAGGAUUCUCUGGCUCUCAGUGUGCAGUGUGCAGGUUCUGUGUCUAAUAUGGCCCAACGCAUAUUUGCUCGAACCCGUCAAGUUGAAUCAUUGGCGGCUGAAGUGAUGAGUCUCAAACAAGAGAUUAGAGGGCUCAAGCAUGAGAAUAAACAGUUGCACAGGCUCGCACAUAACUAUGCUACAAACAUGAAGAGAAAGAUUGACCAGAUGCAGGAAUGUGAUGGUCAGAUUUUACUUGAUCAUCAGAGGUUUGUGGGUUUGUUCCAAUAGCAUUUGCCUUCGUCUUCCGGGGCUAUACCGCGUAAUGAAGCUCCAAAUGAUCAACCUUCAAUACCUUCUCCUUCUGGGGCUCCGCCGACUGCUGAGGCUCCGCCGACUACUGAGACUUCUCCUAAGCAGCCUUUUUGAAGGCUUCCUCUUGUAUUUUCUGCUUAAUGUUCCUUUUUUUUCAUGAAAAUGAAUGUAAAAAUACUUUGCAUAUCUGUCAAUGUUUCAAAAUAAACUCACACAAAAAACAAUUAAACAAGCAACAAAUAAAAAUGACAAUCAUGGCAAAAUAAAAUGCAGAAAAGGGAAGGUUUUUAGAAACGCAAAACUGAUUUUGGAGCGAUUCAAAAAUCUUCCUCAUUUUUGAAUACAUGGGUUGCCUCCCAAGAAGCGCUUGCUUUAACGUCUUCCAGCCGGACGAAACUUCCUUCUAAGCUUGGAUAGGGCCCAUAGCAUGGAAUUGAUCCUUAAAUGGAAGGUGAUACUUGAUGUGAUCCGGCAAUGGUUUAAAUUCUAGUGUAGGUGCCUGAAUCAUUAAAAUCAACAAGUUAGUAUAAAAUAAAAUCAAAGUUGGAGAAGAUAGCUUACUUGCUUGCUCCGACACAAACUCAAUUACGAACACCACAUCUUUGAAGGUUGCAGGGAUAUGGGAUUUGGCCAGAUUUGGUGUUUUGAGAGUUAUGACUUGUCCCGUGUCAUAAAAUCCAACUUCUUUGGGAUUUUUCAUCUCAAGUGUAUCUUCUUUGAUGAAUUCUAGACAUUCCCCAUCCACUUCUUGCUCUUGAUUCUAUGGAAAGGUUUCGAAGAUGCCUUUCUCACCAUCUUCUUCCUUGGAUUGCUUGAUCCUGCAAGGAAUAAAGACAUUUGGUGAAACGGGGUCAAGACGAAUUGAAUUUAGGCUUACCUUGGUUGUAGUGGACGGCAUAUAGGGCAUAUGGGGCUGCAGCAAGGGUGGUUCUUCCCUUGCCAUGGCCUUGUUAUUCUCCUCUUCUUCGAGCAUCAACUGUUCAUCCAUGUUUUAGCUUGGUUUGGAUGUCUUGGGUUCACCUCCAACCUCCAUAGCACUUCCCAAAGUGAUAGCAUCAUGGAUUUCAAAAUCUUCCUUCAAAUUUUCAAUAGUUGAGUUGGAGAGUUCACUUUGCUCUUGAAUUUGUGCCGUGAACUCCAUAAUCUCUCCAAGUUGAUUUUUCAAUUCGCUCAUCUCCUUAGCUUGAUUGAGCAUUGUUUCAUUUUGAUUUUGCUGCCCCUGAGUUUGAUUGAGCAUAUUGUAUAUGAGGUUGUGAUGGCUGCAUAGGUCUUGAAUGGAACUCCUCUUCUUGCUGCCAAUAUCCAUCUUGUUGGAAUUGUUGAGGUUCUAUGUAAUCUGAAUAAUCUCUCCAAUCUGAAUUGUAAGCGUUGGAAAACAUGUUGUCCCAUGAUUGGCUAUGGCCUUGAUAACCCCAAGCAUCUUCAUUGGCAGUGAAUUGAGAAUAUUGCCGAGUUGGAUAUCCUUGCCCAUAGGACACACCACAUAUAGGGACACUUUGCAUUGUGGUCCUUUCGGCAUAUUGUGACAAUUGAGAAGUAAGUUCCGCCAAUUGAGUUUGAAUGGUAGCAAAAUCCAUGUCUUACUUCUCUAGUACCUGAAAUCAAGGAAACAAAACUAAAUCAAAUAUCAAAAGUAAAACAAAGCAGUGGAACACCUACAAUUUGAGGAAGUAUCAUAUGUGACCUUCCACUACAUCAAAGCCUAAAAACUUAAGCAGCUUGAUGAGUACCACCUCACAAGUCGAGGACUAUCUAGUUGUUAUCCAGUUCCUACCUUACAACUAAGUUCUCGUUCGUUUCACUCGUUUUUAAAUGAGGAAUUCAGAAGAAAUCUGCAACUUGGCUCAGCUGCAUGCUUACGACAACUAAUCACUUUUGCACUUCAAAAGAAGACUAUGCCCUUCUUAAGGACUCAUCGUAGGAAUUGCGCCCCCUGAGGGACCAACCAUGCUCUCCAGUGUGAGAGGGGGUAAACCAAUUCCCCAACACCCACUUAGUCUGCUCUCCAGUGCGAUAAGAUAAACUAAUUGUUCUCUAGUGCGAGAAGGUAAAUGAUAGGAGUAUAUUUAUGUGACUGAGUUAGCUUGUUCUCAUGCAUUUAUGUUGUUAUUUCUUAGUUAAUUAUGUAUUUUAAGCUAUUUUCGUGUGUUUGUAGGUCCAUAGGCCUUAUGAAGCAAUAAGAUGCAUUUUGGAGCAGUUUUGGGCUUGGAAUGAAUAGCACAUGCAUGGAGUAAGGUGGAUGGACGAAAUUGAAGACUAAAUAGGAAUGUGUUAAAGAGAAAGAAGAAUUAAUGUAAAAAGGACAAAGAGCUCAGCCACAAAUGGGUGUCACUCUACCAUUCACCUUUCCAUCAUUGCCGUGCACCACCAUUGCACUCCCUUUGGAUUCCUAUGUCGUGCAUCAUCAUCCAUGUUCCCUCCAUUGACUCAUUUGUUGCAUCAUUCCACCUCCCUUUCCUUUCUCUACCAUGUGCACAAUCAUUCAUGUUCCCUAGCUGCAACACCACUCCAUUUUACCCCCAUGCUUUGCAUCAUCACUUCACUUUCACCUUUGAAUCAUUUCAAACACCACUCAUUGCACUCAAUUGCUACACCAUUCCUUGUUCCCUCCAUCAUUUCAGAUUUCAUGCAUCAUUACAUUGAAUCAUUGCACUUAAUUCCUACACUAUUCCUUGUUCCCUCAAUCAUUUCAGAUUCAUGCAUCAUUACAUUGAAUCAUUGCACUCAAUUGCUACACCAUUCCUUGUUCCCUCCAUCAUUUCAUAUUUCAUGCAUCAUUGCACUCAAUUGCUACACCACUUCAUGUUCCCCUCCAUUGCCAUGCACUUCCUCUAUAAAAGAAAGUGUGUGUAACAUAAAUUUAGUUCAUAUUUGGUUAGAUCAUUCACUCCCAUUUCAACACAACCUUCAUCCAAACACAUCCAUUCAUCUUCACAUCCAUUCCUCCAUACAAACAAACCUUCAAACACUCACAAACACCUUGUGCCGUAGCAAAGGAAGGGAAGGAAAGUGCUUAGACGUGCUUGCUGUCCAACUUGGAUUGUUGGAGCGUUUAGGUGUUUUCUUUCUUUUGUUUCUAAUGUUUAAAUUCAUUUCCUUUCGUUUUGUUGUAAAUAUGAGUGGCUAAACCCCUCUUGGCUAGGGGUGAUUUCAAAGCCAUGAUUAUGUGUGCAAUAUAAUUUGAUAAAUUCCAGUUAUGAACUCUUGAAUCGUGAAUGUAAUUGGCUUAACUAUUUGAUUGAUAACUUAUUUGUAUUUGUUAAUUAAGGGUCGACACUUAAUUGGCAUGCAUAAAUCCGUUGCAAGAAUGUAAGAAAGUUUCACAUAAUCGUUACAAACUUAUAUUCAUAAGUAGUGGAGGUCGUUUAUAAACGAUCGCGUUAAGUUUAGUUCUAGCAUGAGUAACAUGAUGUCAUAGUUGCAAGUGCUUUGUCAAUGCUUAUGAUUUUCAUUAAACGUAAUGAUCUUUGAUUGUAUCUCUAUUAUGAUGUCAUGUAGGGAACUUUAGAAGAAUGUUUUGGGUUGUUGAAUGAUGUCAUCCAAUCCAAUAAAACAAGGAAAAUCUGAGAGUUAACUAGUGAUGUCACGGUUAAUUUGGAGCAUUGUCGUUCAUAAUCCAAUGAAGUAGUAACUGAUAAUCGAGUUAUCUACAUACAUGUCAUGUGUGAAGAAAAAGCCUCUAGCUAUCCCAUCCAUCAUCUUAUUUCUCAAAUUUGUUUUACAAUCUGUCUAGUUUUUCAUACUUGUUUGUUUGUUUCAACUUCGUCCAAAACUCAAUCCCCAUUUACUUUAGUGUGUCUAAUUAGUUAGAAUCUGUUUUAAUUUGUGUUUUUAAAUGUUUUGAUUCAAGUAAAAGUCAAUUUUCGUCCAAAGUCAUUCCUAGUGUCUAGUUUAAGUUUAUUUGGUUGUUUUAAGCUGUUUUGAGUAUUUUAAGUUUGCUUUGAGUCUUUAAGUCUUGGUAAGUGUUUUUAAGUUUAGUUUUAUGUUUUUGAGUCAGUUUAGAGGUUAUUAGUAAGCCCUCCUAAACCCCGGUCCAGAACGAUCCCUACUUAUACUUAUACUACAAUUGUCAAAAGAGGGUUAAAUUUGUGUGUUAAGUUAAUUUUCGCAUCAAGUUUUUGGCGCCGUUGCCGGGGAUUAGCAACUUUGCUAAUCUUGUUAUUUCUUUUUGUUUAUUUUCGUGUCUUUUGUUUUUAGUCACUGACUUUGUUUCUGUUUGUGUUUCUAUCUCUUUGUCGUUCAUGGUGGUGAAGGUGUAAUUUCCUUUGCCACCUACUCUACUGAUCUUGUACGGACCUUCCCAUAUAGGAUUCAUCUUUUUGGAGCCCUCUCUGCUGGCAGUGAUGAAGGUUUUCCUUAGAACUAGGUCUCUGGGUUGGAAUUAACAGAUCUUGGCCCUUUUGUUGUAGUUGGAGAGGAGUUGUUACUGGUAAGCUAUGAUGCAGGUGAUGGUUUGCUCGCAUUUCUCUUAUGCCAGAUCUUAGCUUGUGGCCAUCUCUUUACUGUUCUGCUUGAAGCUUGGCAGUUAAGUGUCGAUACUUGGCACGAUGAAAUUAGGAAAAUGAUCACUUCUAAACCAAAUGUCAAAGAGAAAAAUGUCUCGCCAGUGGCUUAUCGUUUGGUGGUGUGAUACGCCCUCAGAUAUCCGGGGAGUUCAUCUGGCCAUUUUCCCUUCUUGUCGGAGAGGGACUUCUUGAGGCAGUCGAGGAUCAUCUUAUGAGAUACUUUGGCCUACUCAUUGCCUUGAAGAUAUCUCAGUGUGGACAUGUAUUGCUUGAUGUCAUACUUUUAUAAGAACUUCACCAAAUCUUUGCCUACGAAUUGCGGGGCGUUGUUUGUGACGAUGGAUUGAGGGAUGCCAAAUUGGAAAAUGAUGUUCCUCCAUAUGAAACGCUAUAUGUCCGUCUAUGUUGUGGUAGUCAUGGGUUCUGCUUCUAUCCAUUUGGUGAAGUAAUCGGUUGUCACGAUCGUCAUGCCUUUGCCCACCAAUAGCAGGCAGCUUUGGGCCUACCAAGUUGAUUGCCCACUGCAUGAAUGGCCAAUGACUCGUAUGUGGGAGUGAUUUGCUGGUAUCGACUUAUAGCGUUGGCAGCGGUCGUACUUUUGUUCUAACUCCUUAGCAUCUUGGUGCAUGGUAGGCCAGUAGUAGCCUACGUUUAAAACCUUCUAUGCUAAGGAUUGGCCUCUAGAGUGAUUUCCACAAACGCCUUCAUGGAUUGAACUUAAAACCUUAAGGUCAUCAGGAAGGGCUAGGCAACAAAGAUGUGGUCUAGUGUAAGAUCUUUGGACAAGAAUGCCAUGCCACAUGUAGUAGCGUGCUGCCUUUAUUUGGAGCUUUCUAAACUCCAACCUUUCGAUGGGGAAUGUGCCAUUAAACAAGUAGUUUAUAAUAGAACUUUGCCAGUUUGGAAUUAUACUAACCUGUGACACUUUGGCUGUUGGCUCCGCCUUUAUGCUUAGCUUGUCUAGAUACUCCAUCGGAAUAGAGUGUUUAAGUUGGUGGUCAAGAGUGGUGCCUAGGUCGGCUAGUGCGUCCAUGUGAGCGUUAUCCACCCGUGGAACUUAAGAAAUGGUGUAAGUCUGAAACGCCUUAAGUAGUCUGGCUAAUGAUUAGCUGGGAAUCAGAAUGAAUGGCGAGCUUUUCACAGCCAAGUCUUUUGCCAUUCAAAGGCUUGCUAGAAUGGCUUCGUACUCUGCUUUGUUGUUAGAUGCUUUGAAGCUUGAAGUGAAUGCCUACUCGGGCAUCGAACUGUCUGGGGUGACAAGGACUAUGCCUAUUCUCAAACCUUUGUAGUUAGAUACGUUGUUGACAAGAAAAUGCUAAAAGUCUCCAUCGGGUGGAGCAGGCGCGGCUAGGGCGUGCUCGGCUACCUCUGAGGUGUCAUUGGGCAGCUCUGUUGCGUCGCUUAGGCUAGGCGUGAAGGCAUGGUAGGGGGCGUGGAGCUGGGGCCAUACGACACAUAGCAGGAGAUGCUCAACUGCUGAUAUUAGGCCAUUCUAGAGUUGAAUUAUGGAGCAAGGGUCGGCUUGGGCCGUGUGACAUGUAGUAAGAGGUGGUGUUCGACUGCCAGUACAUGUUACUCCUAUGUAGAAUCUUUUGGGACGACGCAGACAAAGCUUGCUUCCGAGUAUGUUCUUCUAGUGUUUGUUUGCCCUUGAUGCGCUUUUUGGCCGAGUUGUUACGUUCGUCAAAAAAUUUUACAUUCGUCAGUGUCUACGUCUUUAUUGUCGCACGUCUGGAUUGGGCUGAAUAGUGUGUCAUAAGGAUGACUAUGUGCGUCUAAAAGUAAAACUUAAGCUUCUGGGUCGUAACAACUAUUGCCAAAGUUAGCUUUUGAAUUCCUGGUAACAUCGAGAAUAGCUUUUAAACUAUGGAAUACAAGUAGUCGGGCGCCCAGCUCUUCUCAUAUGAGGGCAGAGCUCAAUGCUACUUUGGAGACUGUCAGGUAGAUGUAUAAGUCAUCCACUGCUUCCGACUUUGAUAGUAAGGAAGGUGAUGUAAGACACUUUUUCAGGUCUUGGAAAGCUAUUUCGCACUCUUCAUCUCAUUUGUCUCGUUGUGCCAUCUUAAUGGCCUUGAAAAUGGGCUUUCAGCGAUCGGUGGACCAUGAAAAAAAGCAGUUGAGGGCGGCUGCUCGUUCAGUCAAGCUUUGGAUCUUCUUUAAAGUAAUGGGAGAUUUCAUCUCUAAGAUCGCUCGGAUUUGCUUGGCAUAUAGUCGUGAAGCGACUCCUUUAGGUUCUUCUUGACAUUGAACAAAUGGUAGGACUUUUUCUUGAUCGAGUGAUAGAAUGAAUAUUCUUUGGUGAAAACCAAAGAAAAUUCGUCAAAUCUCCAAAUGGAUUGUGGCGACAGGGUGUAGAACCAAUCUUACGCCGUGCCUUGUAGAGUGAUGGUGAAUAUCUUACACAUGAGACCAUCGUUGUUUUGAUAGAGGAUCAUUGUGCUUCAGUAGUGUUUUAAGUGUCUCUCUGGGUCUCCAUCUCCUUUGAAGGAUGUGAAAUGUGCAUGCUGAACUUACAUAGAGGCUCUACUUGCUUGAUCCCGUCUGUGAAGGGUGACCUACUUAUGUUAGUCAUGUCCCGUUGUAGUGCCUCGUCAGUGACCUCAUUGCGUUGGAAAUGGCUCAAUCGUUUGAUCAAGAAUCUCUUUACUUCUUCCUGAAUUUGCAUUUCUUAAGGUAGCAGAGCUCUUGGCUGCCCUCAGUCGUGACUUGCUAGUCUAGGCUGCUCUUCCAUGUGUUUGGCUCGCCUAUGCCGUGAAUGUGGUGCAUGUGGUGUGUUCCUAGCAGGCGAGUGAGUUCUUCGCAGGCAGCUAGUUGAACUUGAGCCAGAUUAAGUGACUGCUUCUAUCCGUCUGUCGUGCUGCCUAUUCCAAUGUUAGAUGGAGGAUGCUCCUUACGGGUUUAACCGCGAAUGAACACUUUGCCUCGAAGGUUGCUCAUGUUGACUAUCGGAGUGUAACCCCAAUGGUGAAUGUAUGUUCGUCCAUGGGCCUAGUCGAGAGUGCACGCUCCUUCGAGCUCUAAGACAGAAGUAUACGCUAUCUCGAUGGCCCAGUCGGGAGUGUACACUGCCCAAACACUAGGUUCGUGGCUGGUCAAGUGGUUGCUUACCAGGACGCUGCUGGAGAGGUUCUUCGUCUGCCUUUGUUCUACUUCAAGACACCUCAUCUGGGGCACAUUACAUCUCGGUGCACUGCAAAAGUUGUUUCACCAAGGUCGUCUGCUGUGCGAGGGCGCUCAUCAACUCUAUGACUUGUCGAGACAAGUGUUGUUCUCCAUUUGGGUUGGAAAAGCUUGGAAGGAAUGUAUCUCCUUAAGCAGUGGGAGUGUGGUAGACUCCGGGCUCUAGAUUUGAGUUAGGAAAUGUCAAAUCCAGAGAAAAAUAUGGUGAAAAUGUUCCCGGUUCGAUCAUCGGUCCAAAAAUUUAGAGCCGGGAUAGAUGAACUAAUCUUGGACCAAUUUGGGUUGCUUGAAAGCCAUGGGAGCAGGCUGGGUCGCGAGAACAGGGUAGGCCACGGAAGUGGGCUACUCGGCGUGUAGCGCACGUGGGUACGAGGCUAGGGCUCAGCUUGACAGCACGUUGGGUUCACGUUGGGUUGGGUGGCACGGGCCCGUUUGCCUUGGGCUUGGAAUGACACGACUUGGGCUGUGGCCUUGGUGCCAUGUGUUGGAAAUAUGCCCUGAAAGUCAAUCUUUGGAAGAAAUCUUUCAGGACAAAUGAAUCGAUGUAUGAUGAUGAUGAAAUGGCAAAGAUACUAAUUAGGACUAUCUCAAUAAACGAUAUAAGUCCUGAAUAGUGAAUCCAUGGACAAUGGAUCGAUUGAAGAAGUAAUCUAAUGAUGUUAAACUACAGAGACCUUCUUCACAUAACCAUUAUGUCCAAAAGGUUCCUGGUCGUUGGAUUGUCGGAGGGAUACUGACAAUGCUUAGACCGGUACAUACUGUGUCCGCUUCAAUUGGAAGGAUGGAAAGUCUCAACCCAUUCGUGUUGUGACACUGAGACAAGUAUGUAGGUGCUCAUUAAAGGAAUGAGUUCACUGAACACAAACGAAUCAGAGUAAUCUGGAGGUAUCAGAGUACUUGCAUGGAGGUCUACUCACAUGUCAAGCAAGUAACUCAAAUGGUUGGAAUAAUGUAAGUAAUCCUUUGACCUGAGGCAUCGUCGUUGUCUUGUGGUUAAGUACUUAAUCUUUGAUUAUGUCAACGUCACUCUAUCAGAGUGUCAACGGCAUAGUUGGGGUUAAGCCACUUAGUCAUGAAGGCAAGUGUAUAUGCGCAACAAGGAAUCUCUAAUCCUCGAUAAGAGAGGAAGAAUACUCUAAGAUAUGAUUCGGGAAUCUUCGGCCGCCGAAGUAUCGAGCGUAAUAAAGGGAA
This 13081-nucleotide long non-coding RNA is filed under the name Malus domestica (apple). RNAcentral's name for it is "long non-coding RNA (MDOM_LNC004357)". Lineage: Eukaryota; Viridiplantae; Streptophyta; Magnoliopsida; Rosales; Rosaceae. The record is from RNAcentral.